Molecule: ribosomal RNA, 560 nt
Filed under: uncultured bacterium
Lineage: Bacteria
Description: bacterial SSU rRNA
Rfam family: Bacterial small subunit ribosomal RNA
Source: RNAcentral
CGCGAAGAACCUUACCUGGGUUUGACAUGCGCGGAUGCCCUCCUUGAAAGGGGAGUAGGCUGCCUUCGGGUGAAACGUGCACAGGUGCUGCACGGCUGUCGUCAGCUCGUGCUGUGAAGUGUCGGGUUAAGUCCCUUAACGAGCGAAACCCCUAUCGCUAGUUGCCAGCGGGUUAUGCCGGGGACUCUAGCGAGACCGCCGGCGUCAAGCCGGAGGAAGGUGGGGAUGACGUCAAGUCAUCAUGGCCCUUAUGCCCAGGGUGUCACACGUGCUACAAUGGGCUGUACAAAGGGUAGCGAACCCGCGAGGAGGAGCCAAUCCCAAAAAGCAGUUCUCAGUUCGGAUUGGAGUCUGCAAUUCGACUCCAUGAAGUUGGAAUCGCUAGUAAUCGUGGAUCAGCACGCCACGGGGAAUCCGUUCCCGGGCCUUGUACACACCGCCCGUCACACCACGAGAGUUGGUUGUACCAGAAGUCGUUGGGCAAACCCUUCGGGGAUGCAGGCGCCUAAGGUAUGACUGAUGAAUGGGGUGAAGUCGUAACAAGGUAACCUUAAUUAAAA